This is a long non-coding RNA of Cucurbita moschata (crookneck pumpkin), 580 nucleotides long. RefSeq lists it as uncharacterized. The record is from RefSeq and is a predicted model, not a curated record. NCBI's taxonomy places the organism in Eukaryota, Viridiplantae, Streptophyta, Magnoliopsida, Cucurbitales, Cucurbitaceae. The transcript is spliced from 2 exons.
AACUUUUAGCCAGUCGCCGCUCUUCCUUCUUUCUGCCGCCGUCCGCCGCCCUUCCUUCUCUCUUUUUCAUUUUUCUUCCUUAAGCCACUGCCACCCAAUGCUCACGGUUCCGCAACUGAUUGUUCCCACACCGCUCCGCGCCCCUUCCCACAUCAGAAAACCAUCACCCUGCAGCCACAUCGCCGCAGCGAGGGAACGACAUCGUCGUUGCCCAAAAUCGACCUCAAGUGGGUUAGACGCAGCAAAGGUUCAACGCCUACGUAGGAGGAAGACUUAGUUCGAGGGGAGUCAGAUCGUCGUUGAUUAUGAAAGGCCAAGAAAGCAGCUCCUCAGGCGAGGCUGUGACACGGAAGUGACGAGUAGGAUGCCAAAGUCAGUCACGAGGUGAUUCAAGGAUUUUUAUGUUUUUUUUUUUUUUUUGUAGUCUCAUUUUGUGGGAGUGACGUUUCCGCACUUUUGUUAUUAAUUUAAACUAUAUUGUGGAUGCCUAGUUUGUGGGAACUAGGCGGUCACAUCAGACUUCCUUUUGAUUUUAAAUUUCCUCUUUGUUUUAAAUAACUUUAGGCGGCAUUGUUUUUUU